RNAcentral lists this ribosomal RNA (253 nucleotides) under uncultured bacterium. RNAcentral describes it as "partial 16S ribosomal RNA". It matches the Rfam family "Bacterial small subunit ribosomal RNA", at positions 524 to 776 of the family's 1533-position model. The record is from RNAcentral.
UACGUAGGGGGCGAGCGUUGUUCGGAAUUACUGGGCGUAAAGCGCGCGUAGGCGGGAUGGCAAGUCGGGUGUGAAAGCCCUCGGCUCAACCGAGGAAGUGCACUCGAAACUGCCGUUCUUGAGUGUCGGAGAGGGUGGCGGAAUUCCCGGUGUAGAGGUGAAAUUCGUAGAUAUCGGGAGGAACACCAGUGGCGAAGGCGGCCACCUGGCCGACAACUGACGCUGAGGCGCGAAAGCGUGGGGAGCAAACCGG